UAGGGAAUUUUCGGCAAUGGACGGAAGUCUGACCGAGCAACGCCGCGUGAGUGAAGAAGGUUUUCGGAUCGUAAAGCCCUGUUGUUAGAGAAGAACGUUGGUAGGAGUGGAAAAUCUACCAAGUGACGGUAACUAACCAGAAAGGGACGGCUAACUACGUGCCAGCAGCCGCGGUAAUACGUAGGUCCCGAGCGUUGUCCGGAUUUAUUGGGCGUAAAGCGAGCGCAGGCGGUUCUUUAAGUCUGAAGUUAAAGGCAGUGGCUUAACCAUUGUACGCUUUGGAAACUGGAGGACUUGAGUGCAGAAGGGGGGAGUGGAAUUCCAUGUGUAGCGGGGAAAUGCGUAGAUAUAUGGAGGAACACCGGUGGCGAAAGCGGCUCUCUGGUCUGUAACUGACGCUGAGGCUCGAAAGCGUGGGGAGCAAACAGG
This 429-nucleotide ribosomal RNA is filed under the name Bacillota bacterium. Its description in RNAcentral is "Firmicutes bacterium partial 16S ribosomal RNA". It matches the Rfam family "Bacterial small subunit ribosomal RNA", at positions 355 to 776 of the family's 1533-position model. Lineage: Bacteria; Bacillati; Bacillota. The record is from RNAcentral.